RNAcentral lists this transfer RNA (71 nucleotides) under bacterium. Its description in RNAcentral is "tRNA-His". It matches the Rfam family "tRNA". From Rfam's summary of the family: Transfer RNA (tRNA) molecules are approximately 80 nucleotides in length. Their secondary structure includes four short double-helical elements and three loops (D, anti-codon, and T loops). Further hydrogen bonds mediate the characteristic L-shaped molecular structure. tRNAs have two regions of fundamental functional importance: the anti-codon, which is responsible for specific mRNA codon recognition, and the 3' end, to which the tRNAs corresponding amino acid is attached (by aminoacyl-tRNA synthetases). tRNAs cope with the degeneracy of the genetic code in two manners: having more than one tRNA (with a specific anti-codon) for a particular amino acid; and 'wobble' base-pairing, i.e. permitting non-standard base-pairing at the 3rd anti-codon position. RNAcentral also lists the same sequence under 1 other name. The record is from RNAcentral.
GCGGCCGUGGUGUAGUGGUAACACAGGAGCUUGUGGAGCUCUUAUCACGGGUUCAAUCCCCGUCGGUCGCC